CUGUUCCUGUCGCUCUGGCUGACAGUCAGAGGCAAGGACAGCAGCGUGAGUGGAAGAUUUCUGCCCUGUGUUUUGUGUGUUCGCAAGGAGGCCAGAGUGGUGCUGAUACCUGGGGUCCCGAGUUCCCCGGAAACGUGGCAGUCAUGGCACCAUGUGCUCGAGAAACACAGAUGGGAAAGUCCAUCCCAGAAGCUGGUAACCGCGGCAGAUACAAUCAGCUGCAAAGCAAAUCGGAUGCCACGGCGUUGUCAGCGAGGAGUGUGCCUGCGCCCCGGCUAUUCGCUUCAGUAGAAGCAGGUGCUUCUGAAGCAGGACCUCUGACUGAAGACCCUCCCCCAGCGCUGCCGCCGAGCCCAGCCUCACCCCGGGGUGCUGCACCAUGCGGGGGUCUCCGGGUACCUCGGAAGUCAUAGCUGUGUGUGCCCAGGAACCCCCUGGUCCCCCAGAGGCCCAUGAGGGACCCCCUUUCUUCUCCAUGUCAAAUGUUGUCACCAGAUGCUUUGGACUGAACGUAGGUGCACCCCCCAAAUUCACAUUUGAGGUGCCCACCCAGUGUGAUGGUAGUUGUGGGGGGUGCUUUGGGAGGUGUGGGGUUUAGAGGUCAUGAGGGCGGGGCCCCUUGUAGGAAGAGGCACUGAGAGACUGAGCCCAGAGAAGGGGCCUGUCUCAGCCAGAGAGAGGACUCCCUCCAGGAGCCACGUCUGCAGAACCUUGACCUUGGACUCCCAGCCUCUGAAAUGUGCCAAAUAAACACGUGCUGUUUAAGCCCG
Molecule: long non-coding RNA, 770 nt
Organism: Sus scrofa (pig)
Lineage: Eukaryota; Metazoa; Chordata; Mammalia; Artiodactyla; Suidae
Source: RefSeq, a predicted model, not a curated record